Molecule: ribosomal RNA, 467 nt
Filed under: uncultured bacterium
Lineage: Bacteria
Description: partial 16S ribosomal RNA
Rfam family: Bacterial small subunit ribosomal RNA
Source: RNAcentral
GACGAACGCUGGCGGUGUGCUUAACACAUGCAAGUCGAACGGAAAGGCCUCUUUCGGGGGGUACUCGAGUGGCGAACGGGUGAGUAACACGUGAGUAACCUGCCCUUGACUUUGGGAUAACUUCAGGAAACUGGGGCUAAUACCGGAUAGGAGCUCCUGCUGCAUGGUGGGGGUUGGAAAGUUUCGGCGGUUGGGGAUGGACUCGCGGCUUAUCAGCUUGUUGGUGGGGUAGUGGCUUACCAAGGCUUUGACGGGUAGCCGGCCUGAGAGGGUGACCGGCCACAUUGGGACUGAGAUACGGCCCAGACUCCUACGGGAGGCAGCAGUGGGGAAUAUUGCACAAUGGGUGGAAGCCUGAUGCAGCAACGCCGUGUGCGGGAUGACGGCCUUCGGGUUGUAAACCGCUUUCGCUCAUGACGAAGCUUUGUGUGACGGUAGGGGGUAAAGAAGCACCGGCUAACUACGUG